This 288-nucleotide long non-coding RNA is filed under the name Gossypium barbadense (sea-island cotton). Its description in RNAcentral is "long non-coding RNA (GBAR_LNC004202)". Lineage: Eukaryota; Viridiplantae; Streptophyta; Magnoliopsida; Malvales; Malvaceae. The record is from RNAcentral.
UUGUCUCACAAAAUUUAUUAUAUCUCAUGAUUUAAAAAUCCAUUACUUACAUUGUUUCUUCUAUGAGAAACUAGACUCAAUAAGCUUUAAUUUCAUAUUUUUUUCAUCUUCUAAUUCGAUUUAUAAAAUUUAUGGUGAUUUUUCAAAGUUAGUCUGCUGCUGCUGUCCAAUAUUGUUUUAGUGCAAGUUGUUUAUUACCAUUUUCCCUUAAGCUUUAAUAAAUAACAAUUUCGUCCCUACUCAAUUAGCCUCUUAAUUGAGCUGAUUUUUCUCAAUUAACACUUUAUU